GUGCUCACUAUGGCAGCACAUAUACUAAAAUUGGAACCAUACAGAGAUUAGCAUAGCCCCUGCGAAA
Small nuclear RNA from Cercocebus atys (sooty mangabey), 67 nucleotides. Lineage: Eukaryota; Metazoa; Chordata; Mammalia; Primates; Cercopithecidae. The record is from Ensembl.